UACGUAGGGGGCAAGCGUUAUCCGGAUUUACUGGGUGUAAAGGGAGCGUAGACGGCGGCGCAAGUCUGGAGUGAAAGCCCGUGGCCCAACCACGGGACUGCUCUGGAAACUGCGCGGCUGGAGUGCGGGAGGGGCAGGCGGAAUUCCUAGUGUAGCGGUGAAAUGCGUAGGGAUUAGGAAGAACACCAGUGGCGAAGGCGAUUCUCUGGACUGUAACUGACGCUGAGGCUCGAAAGCGUGGGGAGCAAACAGG
Molecule: ribosomal RNA, 253 nt
Filed under: uncultured bacterium
Lineage: Bacteria
Description: partial 16S ribosomal RNA
Rfam family: Bacterial small subunit ribosomal RNA
Source: RNAcentral